UACGGAGGGGGCAAGCGUUAUCCGGAUUCACUGGGCUUAAAGGGCGCGUAGGCGGGCAGGUAAGUCCGUGGUGAAAUCUCCGAGCUUAACUCGGAAACUGCCAUGGAUACUAUUUGUCUUGAAUGUUGUGGAGGUGAGCGGAAUAUGUCAUGUAGCGGUGAAAUGCUUAGAUAUGACAUAGAACACCAAUUGCGAAGGCAGCUCACUGCACAAAUAUUGACGCUGAGGCACGAAAGCGUGGGGAUCAAACAGG
RNAcentral lists this ribosomal RNA (253 nucleotides) under uncultured bacterium. Its description in RNAcentral is "partial 16S ribosomal RNA". It matches the Rfam family "Bacterial small subunit ribosomal RNA", at positions 524 to 776 of the family's 1533-position model. The record is from RNAcentral.